UACUAUACAAAAUUAAAAGGUAAAAGACGACAUAAAAUAAAAAAACAAAAAAAAACAGACUCAAAAUAUAAAAAGAAAAGAAAAUCUUCUUUUAAUCUACUCCUGAAUGAGCGAUCCUAAAUAGAUGUCCUGGGGCGCUGUCAUGCUCAAACUCCGAUAAGUAAAUCCACGCCUGUAUGAGAAAAUUAAAACCAAAUAGGUUAAAGACCUAGAGCGCUAUGUGAGACAAUAACCCUUCCUGUUGGAAACAUGCAAGACAUGAUUUAGGCUAUUUUUGUAAAAUGACUUAUUUGGCCAAAAGAUAGCUAGAAGUGCAAAAUUUGGCUAAGGCCCCGCAAAGCCAAGAGCCUAAGAUUUACUAGGAAGACCGGACCCUAUGUGGGCUGCCUACGUAUCAUACCCCGAAAGACGAGAAUCAAGUAUGCGUAGUUCGGGCAGAUUGGAUACGGGCAAGAAUUAAAAAAACAACUAAUUUAGAGAAACCAUAUUUUUUUGUCUUUUUUAAAAAAAAAUGAGGAGACAUGUAACUUUUUUUUGGAUUUUUGUUCUUUUUUUUUUGAUUUACGAAAAAUGAUGAAAAAGUGUAAAAUCUCUUUUUUUUUGAAUUUUCAAGCUCUUUUUUUUAAUAAGAAUGUGACAGAAAACAUAAUUGGGCCACACUCGCUUUAUCUUCACACUUCAACCUCUUUUUCUUUUUAUUUUUUAUUUUCCCUCAACUAUCAUUGGUCUGCCAAAUGACCCUUUUACCCUUGAAGAAUGCAACAUGUAGCACAUAGGAUGCAUCAAAAUGGUCUGUUAUUUUGGGUACACCUGUCCUAAACGGACCCAACCCUUGUGUUGAGUCCCCAAAGUCAGAUGCACGUGAUGCAAACAAGCGUUCCUACUAUGGAUCCGGCAUGAGGCUGAGUUAUUCUAGGUUCUAAACCUAGGUAUGUGUUCUAGACUGUGUACCCGAGUGGACAACUCGAGCCGAGGAGGGGGCUACAUACCGGGAACCAAAAGGUCAUCCGACUUAGUAACUUGUCCGAGCCUAUUUCUUAUUUCAAGGUAUGACACUAACAGAAUAAGGAGUCUCGACCAGAGAGCACAUCCCCGAAGAUGAGAAGAGAAGGGUUUAGUGGUAGUUUAUAUACAGUUCAGAUAAUAUCAAAGCGGUAAAAGCAUCAUUUAACACAUUAGGCCCGAGCAUGUAUUCCGAUAAUAGAUAAAGCCAAAUACAACAAUUCAGCUAAGCUCGAAUUCUGAACCUUGAACUAGAGAUUCUGGGUUCGGUCCCCAGCAGAGUCGCCAGAGCAGUCACACCUCCUUUUUCCUACACCCCCGUAAGGGAGUAUAAAGGGAGUUUUUUCCAACUUAAAGUGACAAUCGAAACGGGAUUAUUUAUUUAUUAAACUCAGAGUCGCCACUUGGGAUAAUUUAUGGUGUCCCAAGUCACAGGUUCUAAUCCCGAAUCGAGGAAAAGAUUGAUUCUAUAUUACAGUUUGCGAACACAGAAAUCCGGGUAAGGAAUUCUGUUAACCCGAAAAAAGGUGUUAGGCAUUCCCGAGUUCCGUGGUUCUAGCACGAUCACUCAACCGUUAUAAUUGGCCUAUUAUCUGAUUUUAAUACAUGUUUUAGCCUAUGGUGCCAUUUUAAAUUAUUAACCGCUCUUAUUCAUUUUUAGGAAGAAUGCAACGUCAUUUAAAAUAUGUCUUGAACCACGUCACAUAAUGCACCCGCAGUCUGCAACACAUUUUAUAUAACAUUAUCGAGAUUUGGAUUUGGGUCACAUAAAUGCGCACCCGAGUUUAGGAAGGUAAAUUAUUAAAUAGCGCCUAAAGCAACUACGAUGUAUUCAUUUCCUGAAGUAAUCUAUUGUAGAGGUCAUGAUUUAAGGAUUGAACUACAGUACGCCAGCUCUUUUACAUUGUAACAAGACUAAGAAAUUUCAACACUUUUAUCUAUUUUUUUAAUCCUUUAGCAAAUGAUGUUGUAUCUACUAUCUACUGUAUUUACAUUCUCAUUUCACACUAAAAAGCUAAAAGACAAAUAUAUGUGUAUUAUAAAAUAUGUUGUUCCCUACUUUGCUGUCAAAGCAUAACUUCCAUUUUUUCCAUAUAACCCAUCUUAUAUUAUAUCAAAUAAAUAGAAACAAUAAUAAGUGAAACAGAAUAUAAGAAUAGAAAUAAAAUUAAUUUUAAGGUGAAAUAGAGGUAAAUAAAGAUCACAUAUAAGACAAAUCACAAACAUUAUUAAUAAAUCAUUUUAAAAGAGAGGACAUACACAUUCGCAUUUUUGGAUUCAUGAUUUUUGACGCCAAAGUUUAUAAAUUCAAGCUAACCUUACCUGCCAAAUCAUUUUUCAAUAAGCUCAUGCCUAAUUUUUAACCUUUGUCAGUGGAUACCAUUCCAAUUCUCUUUAACAAAAUUUAAAUUGCUUUGUCUCAUUUAACAAGUAAAUAGUAGCAUAGUUUCAUGUAGUCACUAAACUCAAUAUUGGCAUGAAAGGCAGUAGUAAUGAAGAUAGACGGAACAAAAUAUAAAUGUGAAGAAUGGAUUAUCUACUAACUCAAACCACAAACAAGGUAAGGCAACAGAGGAUUCAUGACAAUAAAUUAGAAUGAAAGUAGAGAAGGAACAGAAAUGACGGACCUUUUAUAUACAUAGAAAUUUAUUGACUACAAAGAUAUGAGCUCGACGAGAGAAUUCAAAAAAAACGAACCAGGCACGGAGAACUUGUCGGCGACCUCGAACAAGGAUCUGGACAAAAAUUAUAGCGACUCGACUAGAUUUGGACAGCUAUUUCGAGUGUAAAGGAGUCGGUUCGAUGGAUGUUUGCGGCUGGUUUUGGACGGCAUUUCGUUGGAUCUCUGGUGCUGAUUUUGGGACAACUAUUCUGGGAUUUUCGGAUUGGUUUUUCAGCAAUUUUGCAGAUGGUUUGACUGCUCUUUAGAGCUAUUUUGCGGACAGUUUUUGGGGCUAGUUUGGGUGACAUUUUUGGGGUUGAAUUUCAGCUUGGUCUAGGGCUCUUUUCGUGGUAGUUUCAGGUGUUUCAGGGGUGUUUGAGCUAAAGUUUUUGAGGUUGAGAAGCUAUGGAUGAAGCUGAUUUUUGGGUGAAGCAACAUCGGGUUUCAACUACGUUUUUUUGGAUGCUUUUGGCUGCUUCUUGUUACUGAUUUUAGAGGGUCCUGUGGUUACUUUUGUCAUGAGAAGGGCUGGCCUUACAUGGCUAUGAAAAUUUGAUGGAAAAAGAGAAUGAAGUUUCCACAAGGAAUAAGAAGCAAAGAAUGGCGG
RNAcentral lists this long non-coding RNA (3272 nucleotides) under Nicotiana tabacum (common tobacco). Its description in RNAcentral is "long non-coding RNA (NTAB_LNC016124)". The record is from RNAcentral. Lineage: Eukaryota; Viridiplantae; Streptophyta; Magnoliopsida; Solanales; Solanaceae.